RNAcentral lists this ribosomal RNA (253 nucleotides) under uncultured bacterium. RNAcentral describes it as "partial 16S ribosomal RNA". It matches the Rfam family "Bacterial small subunit ribosomal RNA", at positions 524 to 776 of the family's 1533-position model. The record is from RNAcentral.
UACGUAGGGGGCAAGCGUUGUCCGGAGUUACUGGGCGUAAAGGGUGCGUAGGUGGCCAAUUCAGUCAAGUGUGAAAUUCCGCGGCUCAGCUGUGGGAGAGCGCUUGAAACUGGAUGGCUUGAGGUCAGGUCAGGAAGAUGGAAUUGUCAGUGUAGGGGUGAAAUCCGUAGAUAUUGGCAAGAACGCCAGUGGUGAAGACGGUCUUCUGGACUGAUACUGACACUGAGGCACGAAAGCCAGGGGAGCGAACGGG